This 441-nucleotide ribosomal RNA is filed under the name Cellulosimicrobium cellulans. RNAcentral describes it as "bacterial SSU rRNA". It matches the Rfam family "Bacterial small subunit ribosomal RNA", at positions 8 to 449 of the family's 1533-position model. The record is from RNAcentral. Lineage: Bacteria; Bacillati; Actinomycetota; Actinomycetes; Micrococcales; Promicromonosporaceae.
AGAGUUUGAUCAUGGCUCAGGACGAACGCUGGCGGCGUGCUUAACACAUGCAAGUCGAACGAUGAAGCCCAGCUUGCUGGGUGGAUUAGUGGCGAACGGGUGAGUAACACGUGAGUAACCUGCCCUUGACUUCGGGAUAACUCCGGGAAACCGGGGCUAAUACCGGAUAUGAGCUACCUUCGCAUGGGGGUGGUUGGAAAGUUUUUCGGUCAGGGAUGGGCUCGCGGCCUAUCAGCUUGUUGGUGGGGUGAUGGCCUACCAAGGCGACGACGGGUAGCCGGCCUGAGAGGGCGACCGGCCACACUGGGACUGAGACACGGCCCAGACUCCUACGGGAGGCAGCAGUGGGGAAUAUUGCACAAUGGGCGCUAGCCUGAUGCAGCGACGCCGCGUGAGGGAUGCAAGGCCUUCGGGUUGUAAACCUCUUUCAGCAGGGAAGAA